RNAcentral lists this ribosomal RNA (346 nucleotides) under Salmonella enterica subsp. enterica serovar Enteritidis. Its description in RNAcentral is "bacterial LSU rRNA". It matches the Rfam family "Bacterial large subunit ribosomal RNA", at positions 2597 to 2925 of the family's 2925-position model. Lineage: Bacteria; Pseudomonadati; Pseudomonadota; Gammaproteobacteria; Enterobacterales; Enterobacteriaceae. The record is from RNAcentral.
UACGCGAGCUGGGUUUAGAACGUCGUGAGACAGUUCGGUCCCUAUCUGCCGUGGGCGCUGGAGAACUGAGGGGGGCUGCUCCUAGUACGAGAGGACCGGAGUGGACGCAUCACUGGUGUUCGGGUUGUCAUGCCAAUGGCACUGCCCGGUAGCUAAAUGCGGAAGAGAUAAGUGCUGAAAGCAUCUAAGCACGAAACUUGCCCCGAGAUGAGUUCUCCCUGAGACUUAAAGUCUCCUGAAGGAACGUUGAAGACGACGACGUUGAUAGGCCGGGUGUGUAAGCGCAGCGAUGCGUUGAGCUAACCGGUACUAAUGAACCGUGAGGCUUAACCUUACAACGCCGAAG